ACGCCAUUUAACUUGACUGGCUGACUGGUGAUUUUGAUAAGGUCCGUCUCUGCCAACCAUUCAGACAGACCUGAAAAAAGAAAAAUGAUUGGUCCGAGAGGGAAGGCAGCAGGUCGGUCCUGUAGCUGAGUUUGAUAACGGGAAGAGUAAGCAGCACCUGCACUGCGUGGAGGGUAUUGGAAAGGUCCUGGACAAACUCAGCUGUUUCUCAAAAUUCUCAGAAAGACCCUUAUUCAUCGUCUGGUGUCGUUUAAAGCCCAUUGAAGCUGCCCUGAAACGGUCAUUUGGACCUUGAAC
Pimephales promelas (fathead minnow) is the source of this 297-nucleotide non-coding RNA. The record is from RefSeq and is a predicted model, not a curated record. Lineage: Eukaryota; Metazoa; Chordata; Actinopteri; Cypriniformes; Leuciscidae.